RNAcentral lists this ribosomal RNA (440 nucleotides) under uncultured bacterium. Its description in RNAcentral is "partial 16S ribosomal RNA". It matches the Rfam family "Bacterial small subunit ribosomal RNA", at positions 338 to 795 of the family's 1533-position model. The record is from RNAcentral.
CCUACGGGAGGCAGCAGUAGGGAAUAUUGCUCAAUGGGGGAAACCCUGAAGCAGCAACGCCGCGUGGAGGAUGAAGGUUUUCGGAUUGUAAACUCCUUUUGUUAGAGAAGAUAAUGACGGUAUCUAACGAAUAAGCACCGGCUAACACCGUGCCAGCAGCCGCGGGAAUACGGGGGGUGCAAGCGUUACACGGAAUCACUGGGCGUAAAGAGCGCGUAGGCGGGAUAGCAAGUCAGAUGUGAAAACCUAUGGCUUAACCAUAGCACUGCAUUUGAAACUGGUAUUCUAGAGUAUGGGAGAGGUAGGUGGAAUGCUUGGUGUAGGGGUAAAAUCCGUAGAUAUCAAGAGGAAUACUGAUUGCGAAGGCGACCUGCUAGAACAUAACUGACGCUGAGGCGCGAAAGCGUGGGGAGCAAACAGGAUUAGAUACCCGAGUAGUC